Molecule: unclassified non-coding RNA, 200 nt
Filed under: Agaricus sp.
Lineage: Eukaryota; Fungi; Basidiomycota; Agaricomycetes; Agaricales; Agaricaceae
Description: partial internal transcribed spacer 2
Source: RNAcentral
UUAAGUUCAGCGGGUAGUCCUACCUGAUUUGAGGUCAAGCAUUCAAAAAAUUGUCACUGAAGACGAUUAGAAGCUGAACACAGAGAGCAAUCCCCUCGCUAGUGUAGAUAAUUUAUCACACUUGUGGCAGAUCGCAAACAGUUCUGCUAAUGCAUUUCAGAGGAGCUGACCACAUCAAGCGGCCAGCAAGCCUCCACAGU